RNAcentral lists this long non-coding RNA (762 nucleotides) under Androctonus crassicauda. Lineage: Eukaryota; Metazoa; Arthropoda; Arachnida; Scorpiones; Buthidae. The record is from RNAcentral.
CAAAAGCCAAACUGUUUCCUGCUACCUGCAAUACAUUUUGGAAUAGACUGUACAACACCUUUAAAUAUUGGUUCCUUGUCUCUAUAUUCUACAUAUGACAUUUGAGUUGGAUAAGUCCACAAAUCUGUAAGGAUAGUGUCAUUAUAUUAGGAGCAAAAAUCUUGUCAGCAGGUCUUGUUAAUGCUAGAAGCAAAAUGGCAAGGUGAGGUUAAGUUACCAAUAGUGGACUUACCUGCCUGGGUCCCGAUUGCUGUAAUUAAUAAUUUUGUAGGUACUGAAGCUAAGCUGUUCACAGCUCUGAUAUUGCAAGAUGCUGUUACUGAUUAUGAUGAUGCUGGACUUGAUGAAAUUAUACAUGUAUAUCUAAAGUACUGCUCAAAACUUAUUUGGGAUCUGCAAUGAACCUGUAACAAUUGAAGUGAUCUGUCUAUGGAAAGUGCAUCCUAUCAACUGCUGAUAGUAAUGGUGCUAGUGACAAUUGAUCUGAACUAUUAGCUUGCCACAGAGAGGCACCACAAUAGUUGGCUACUGCUCCAUGGCAGGCUGAAUGGCUAGUAGCUGGAGCAGGUGCAGUGCAUGACAUACAUAACAUUUGUCUUCUAAUACAUUAGACUUGAGCUUAGACAUUUUUGUUUAUUUCUAGGCAUUGUUUUCUAAUAUCACUCGACAGCGGUAUGUUCAAACAAACAUUAAUUUUUAUUCAAUGCGAGCGUUUUCGGUGUGAGCUGUACCAUCAUCAGGCGUAUGCAUGGGGGGUCAAAC